CGGGGGAGGCGUGCUCCGCAGGACCGGUGUUCCAGCUGUGGGUUCACGCCGCGGUCGCGGCUGCUGACGUGGGCCGGCCCGGUGUGGGGCUGCGGGUGCGGGUCGCUAUGGCGGUGGACAUCACGCUGCUGUUCCGGGCCAGCGUGAAGACCGUGAAGACGCGGAACAAGGCGCUGGGAGUGGCGGUGGGCGGCGGGGUCGAUGGCUGCCGCGACGAGCUGUUUCGCCGGAGCCCCCGGCCCAAGGGCGACUUCUCCGGCCGGGCCCGCGAAGUGAUUUCUCACAUUGGCAAACUGAAAGAUUUUCUUCUGGAACAUAGGAAAGAUUAUAUUAAUGCUUAUAGCCAUAUCGUGUCUGAAUAUGGGAGGAUGACAGACACAGAACGGGACCAGAUAGACCAGGAUGCUCAGAUAUUCAUGAGAACCUGUUCUGAAGCAAUUCAGCAACUGAGAGCAGAAGCCCACAAGGAGAUACAUUCCCAGCAAGUGAAGGAGCACAGGACGGCUGUUUUGGAUUUCAUUGAAGAUUACUUAAAAAGAGUGUGUAAACUUUACUCAGAACAAAGAGCCAUCCGAGUUAAAAGAGUGGUGGAUAAGAAAAGAUUAUCUAAACUGGAACCAGAACCAAAUACAAAGACAAGAGAAUACAUAUCUUCUGAGAAAGUUUCUGAAGGUCCUGUAAAAGAUUCGGAAGAAAAACCUACCACUGAAGAAUAUCCAGAAAAGAAUUCGACUGAAGCACGACCUGAAUUGGGAACCUGGGGAGAUGGCAAAGGCGAAGAUGAAUUAUCCCCAGAAGAAAUACAAAUGUUUGAACAAGAAAAUCAGCGACUAAUUGGUGAAAUGAACAGCUUGUUUGACGAAGUGAGGCAAAUCGAAGGGAAAGUGGUUGAAAUUUCCAGACUCCAAGAGAUAUUCACGGAAAAGGUUUUGCAACAGGAGCGUGGGCAGUGGUCACCUGGCCUGUACUUGGAGAGUCUCUGGAAAGGUCUGAUCACAGAGUGAAGCCGCCCCACUAACAGCCGUCUCCAGGAACCAGGCGGCUACAGGCGGCUUUCCUCCCUGCAGUGCAGGCCUCUCUAGUCUCCCACCACUGUCCGUUCCCCUCCCUGACACUGCCAGGAAGCAUCUUCGCUCUGCCAAAGGGAUUGAGCAAAGCGGCACUCCUGUUGGAAGGCCGUCUUGCGUGGGCUGCGCCUGUGGAAUUCUGGGCUCAUUAGCUGGAGUCGUGGGGUGGGGGGCAGGAGCCCAUGCUAUUAAGCUUCCCAGUGUGUGGAGUAAUACAAGUGCUGUGUUUUCUGCAGGCACCCUGCAUCCUAUUUUGAUUUUUGAAUUUCAGCCUAUUUUAUAGAGAUGUAAUUAUAAAACAUAAAGCACUGUUUUUGAAGUUAGCAUAUGUGUUUGGAAGCACCCAGGCUUUGAAGCUUACUUACUUCUGUGCAUUUCACAAAGAAUGAGGUGGAGUCUGCAGAGAAAGCCCUGCCAAGUGGUGCUGCCUCCUACAGUGACUUUUAGGUUUUUGUCCUUGUCAUCAGCCCAGUGACACUGGAGUGAUAGCAGGGGGGUGGAAGGAGCACAGGCACUGAGGUGGGCAAGGUUCUGCCACUUAGCUGCUGCGUGACUUUGGGCAAGUUGGUAAACUUCUCUGACCCAUAAAUUUCUCUGUUAUAAAGUAGAGGGGACAAUACCUACUUCUUAGGGUGCUGAGAGGGUCUGUGAGCUAUGCAGCUAAGCUCCAGCCCUUAGAAGGGGCAGCUACUGUUUCUGUUGUGAUGUAAGCCCCAGGGGAGGAGGCCGUGCAGGUGCUGUGUCCCUCAUUCAUCCAAAGCCCGAGACCCCAAGUGCUCCAAAUCUGAAACUUUUUGAGUCCAACAUGACAGUCAAAGGAAAUCCUUGUUUGAGUUUGGAUUUUCAGACAAGGGAUCCUCCUCCUGUGUUUAUCUGACGCUCUUCUCUUCAACAGGAAGCCGAGAUUGAUAGCAUCCACCAGUUAGUCGUCGGGGCGACUGAGAAUAUCAAGGAGGGCAAUGAGGACAUAAGAGAGGCCAUCAAAAACAACGCCGGCUUCCGCGUGUGGAUCCUCUUCUUCCUCGUGAUGUGCUCCUUCUCCCU
Molecule: RNA transcript, 2111 nt
Organism: Nycticebus coucang (slow loris)
Lineage: Eukaryota; Metazoa; Chordata; Mammalia; Primates; Lorisidae
Gene: STX18
Gene name: syntaxin 18
Exons: 11
Source: RefSeq, a predicted model, not a curated record